CCAGCUGCUACCACCAGGGCAUUGAAGCCCCUUCAAGAGCAAACUAAGCAGCCAAGAUACUUAAUCAUACAUGCAGAUGCCAGCUACUCCAGAGACACCAUCGUGCUGACAUUCAGCCCGGGUGAUGUUGCUACCCAGAGCACCUGCCGCCUCCGUGUCGGCCUGGAACACUCCACCCAGAUUUUUCCUUCAAGGCCCUGUAAGAUGUGAGAAAGGAGAAGCCUGAAAUGGCUCCUGACACUGGGGAGUCCUGCUCACCAGGCAUGCUUCCUACUGCCUAGCCAACUAUAGCUGGGUGGAGGCCUGGAAUCCCCAGAUCACUGUCUGAGGAG
This is a long non-coding RNA of Chionomys nivalis (European snow vole), 332 nucleotides long. RefSeq lists it as uncharacterized. The transcript is spliced from 3 exons. The record is from RefSeq and is a predicted model, not a curated record. Lineage: Eukaryota; Metazoa; Chordata; Mammalia; Rodentia; Cricetidae.